GAUGAACGCUAGCGAUAGGCUUAACACAUGCAAGUCGAGGGGCAGCAUGGUCUUAGCUUGCUAAGACUGAUGGCGACCGGCGCACGGGUGCGUAACGCGUAUGCAACUUGCCUCACAGAGGGGGAUAACCCGUCGAAAGACGGACUAAUACCGCGUACACUCCAUCUUGGGCAUCCAAGGUAGAGGAAAUGAAAUUCGCUGUGAGAUAGGCAUGCGUCCCAUUAGCUAGUUGGUGAGGUAACGGCUCACCAAGGCGACGAUGGGUAGGGGAACUGAGAGGUUGAACCCCCACACUGGUACUGAGACACGGACCAGACUACUACGGGAGGCAGCAGUGAGGAAUAUUGAUCAAUGGGCGAGAGCCUGAACCAGCCAAGUCGCGUGAAGGAUGACUGUCUUAUGGAUUGUAAACUUCUUUUAUACGGGAAUAACAAGAGUCACGUGUGACUCCCUGCAUGUACCGUAUGAAUAAGCAUCGGCUAACUCCGUG
RNAcentral lists this ribosomal RNA (490 nucleotides) under uncultured bacterium. Its description in RNAcentral is "partial 16S ribosomal RNA". It matches the Rfam family "Bacterial small subunit ribosomal RNA", at positions 28 to 507 of the family's 1533-position model. The record is from RNAcentral.